CGGUUGCCUGACAUCUCCACUAGAGGAUGAGAGAUCCCGCAGAGUCUCUCCUGCUAUAUCGCAUCUGAAUCUCCUCUAACAUUAUGGGUGAACACUCCUGACAUCAGUCCUGUAUUCAUCCAGAAGAAACACUUUAAUGGGAGGCAGUAAAGUGUCAGGACCAAGAUCAUGGUCUCUAGAAUCCAACUGCCUGGGUUUGAAUCCCAACUCUGUCACUACCAGCUGCGUAACCUCAGACAAUUGCCCCAGAUGUUCUGUGCCUCAGUUUUCUCAUCAGCAAAAUGAGGAUAAUGAAAGUGGAUCCUUCAGGAGGCUCUGUGGAGACUAAAUAAAAUAAUAUAUGCAAGAUUGAAGACUAGUAUCUGACACAGAGGAAGUUUUCAAUGAACCGCUAUGCUAAGGAUGAGAGGAGAAGAGGAAUUCAUUUACUCCUGGAGAGGAGGUAGAUGGGAGAUGGACAGGGAUUCAGAGAGAGGGAACCCAAGUGACAGCAGAAGCUUCUCCUGAAAUGUGAUGCUGCUCCCAAGAUUCCCCAAGCGAACUCAUGCAGGUGUAUUUAUUAGGGAAAACAUUAGAGGUGGAUGCCAGGUAAACCAGGGAAAGUGCACGAAGACGGAAGUAGAAGGCGGAAGGGUCCCAGGGGAGAGGAAGAAACUGAGGCCUGAAGGUAACAGAGCAUCAGAGGCAGCUCUAGAAUCCUGAGCUCCCAGGACCUGUCCAGCCCAGGGCUUCUCUCCUAACGUUGGAAAUGUAGGGCAUGCUGAGGAAUACCUACAAUCGGGUCCCCACGCCAUCCUUGCUGCCUGUUCCUGCAACCCCAGCAGAGACUGGACCAACUGGGAAACCAUCUGCCCAGAGAACACUGACUCCACUAAAAACACAGCCACCCUCAUGCCAUGGCAGAACCAUCAAUGUGUGUUUCUUCUGAAUCCCAAGUCCAGAGGAAUUGUCUCAAAUGGCACAUAUUAGAACCCUAUCUCAGAGGUUGACAGCAGACUACAGAAGAGGUUUUAGCUCACUCAGCCUCACGAUGAGCGAGCCAUUACUUCUGCUUGAAAUGCUAACUAGUUCCCAAGUCUAU
Molecule: long non-coding RNA, 1081 nt
Filed under: Equus caballus (horse)
Lineage: Eukaryota; Metazoa; Chordata; Mammalia; Perissodactyla; Equidae
Description: lncRNA (ENSECAG00000054535.1)
Source: RNAcentral